Long non-coding RNA from Quercus lobata, 590 nucleotides. RefSeq lists it as uncharacterized. The transcript is spliced from 2 exons. The record is from RefSeq and is a predicted model, not a curated record. Lineage: Eukaryota; Viridiplantae; Streptophyta; Magnoliopsida; Fagales; Fagaceae.
CUCUCUCCCUAUAUGCUCUUCUUUCCCUUUCCCUUUCUCUCUCUCUCUCUCUCUCUCUCUCACUUUCUUCUGAAAUGUAUUUCCUAUGCACAAUUUUGAAACAAUCUCUCUAUUUGGUUGAAAAACUCAGAAAAAUGGCUUCAUUGCGUCAAAAUUUCCCGGUUCAAUUUCUCCAAAUGACUCCACCAGCUUUGAAUCUUUCUACUCAAGAUGCCCCAAACGCAUCAGAUCAGAUCUCCUUGGGAAACACCAUUACAGUGGGCAGAUGUAGAUUUUAUAUCUCAAACACCUCACACAAUCGCACAUCUUUCUCAAAAAAAAAAAAAAAAAAAAUGCCUAAAUUAAUCUAUAGAAGCAACGUUUUGCCUGGGUAGUUACAAAAAAAAUUCUGUGGUUUCAUAUCUUUCCCCCCCAAAAAAAAAACUUCUUCCUUCUCCCUCUGUUUCUUUAUAUUCUUCUCUCUCUGUUUCCUUACAUUCUUCACUCUCUCUCCCUCUCUCUCUGUAUUCUAUUCCUGCAACAACUUUGAAACAUUUUCUCCACACAAGUUUUUCCCUGUUUGCAGAAAUACUCAGAAACAAGACUUCUUU